GGAAAAGAUUGACAUGUUUCUAGACAAAAGGUUUUUUUGACUGAGAAGACCCUUGUUUGGGCUUAAAAAAUGUGAUUAAUAAAUAAAUAACACAAGAUCAAUACUGGUUCCAAUCAUCAGACCUUUUUCAAAGAGAUGCUCUUGUAGUUCUUUUCAGUGUGCAACCAAGAUAUUGUAAUUAUUUUUGUAUUUUAGGAAUCAUGAUUCAUCCCCUAAAGAGCAUUGGAAUACGUAGUCCUAUGAGCCAGAAAUAUCAUAAAAACCCAAGAACUAUGUAUUUUGUUCACUAAAUUCUGCCUGAGAAAUAACAUUGGCACAGAUGGUUGACUGGUUUGUGGAGUAGCUUCAGACACGCAGUUAUAGCUGUCUGAAAGUGUAACAUAUUUUUUAAUGUUUUGUUUACUGUGGCGGAUGUAGCUAAAGAAAUGAGGGGUCAAUUGACCCCUCUUUU
Molecule: unclassified non-coding RNA, 451 nt
Filed under: Hevea brasiliensis (rubber tree)
Lineage: Eukaryota; Viridiplantae; Streptophyta; Magnoliopsida; Malpighiales; Euphorbiaceae
Source: RNAcentral